UCAGUGACUUAGCGAUAAGCGACAUGCGA
This 29-nucleotide small RNA is filed under the name Bombyx mori (domestic silkworm). Its description in RNAcentral is "ovarian small RNA-25794". Lineage: Eukaryota; Metazoa; Arthropoda; Insecta; Lepidoptera; Bombycidae. The record is from RNAcentral.